GCCUAUCUGGCUCAGUCAGUAGAGCAUGGGAUGCUUAAUCUCAGGGUCAUGAGUUCAAGCCUCACUUUGGGCA
This 73-nucleotide transfer RNA is filed under the name Mustela putorius furo (domestic ferret). It matches the Rfam family "tRNA". From Rfam's summary of the family: Transfer RNA (tRNA) molecules are approximately 80 nucleotides in length. Their secondary structure includes four short double-helical elements and three loops (D, anti-codon, and T loops). The record is from Rfam by way of RNAcentral. Lineage: Eukaryota; Metazoa; Chordata; Mammalia; Carnivora; Mustelidae.